RNAcentral lists this ribosomal RNA (479 nucleotides) under uncultured organism. Its description in RNAcentral is "partial 16S ribosomal RNA". It matches the Rfam family "Bacterial small subunit ribosomal RNA", at positions 330 to 800 of the family's 1533-position model. The record is from RNAcentral.
CGUACACUCCUGCGGGAGGCAGCAGUGGGGAAUAUUGCACAAUGGGCGCAAGCCUGAUGCAGCCAUGCCGCGUGUAUGAAGAAGGCCUUCGGGUUGUAAAGUACUUUCAGCGGGGAGGAAGGCAAUACGGUUAAUAACCGUGUUGAUUGACGUUACCCGCAGAAGAAGCACCGGCUAACUCCGUGCCAGCAGCCGCGGUAAUACGGAGGGUGCAAGCGUUAAUCGGAAUUACUGGGCGUAAAGCGCACGCAGGCGGUCUGUCAAGUCGGAUGUGAAAUCCCCGGGCUCAACCUGGGAACUGCAUUCGAAACUGGCAGGCUUGAGUCUUGUAGAGGGGGGUAGAAUUCCAGGUGUAGCGGUGAAAUGCGUAGAGAUCUGGAGGAAUACCGGUGGCGAAGGCGGCCCCCUGGACAAAGACUGACGCUCAGGUGCGAAAGCGUGGGGAGCAAACAGGAUUAGAAACCCCUGUAGUCCCAUGA